UACGUAGGGGGCAAGCGUUGUCCGGAUUUAUUGGGCGUAAAGCGCUCGCAGGCGGUUCGUUGUGUCGGCGGUGAAAGCCCCGGGCUUAACCUGGGAAUGGCCGUUGAAACUGGCGAACUGGAGUGUGGCAGAGGGGGGUGGAAUUCCGCGUGUAGCAGUGAAAUGCGUAGAGAUGCGGAGGAACACCGAUGGCGAAGGCAGCCCCCUGGGCUAACACUGACGCUCAGGCACGAAAGCGUGGGGAGCAAACAGG
RNAcentral lists this ribosomal RNA (253 nucleotides) under uncultured bacterium. RNAcentral's name for it is "partial 16S ribosomal RNA". It matches the Rfam family "Bacterial small subunit ribosomal RNA", at positions 524 to 776 of the family's 1533-position model. The record is from RNAcentral.